GGAAGCAGCUGUGUCCAAGGUCGUAAUGACAAGGGCUCGGACUUUCAUAUCUGACAGCAUAGACUCGAUGAAGUGAGCCGUUUCGUUCAUCUCCUCACAGUAGACCUGUUGAGACUGCAACUCAUUUAAUGCGUCAUCCUCUGAGCAUCGUAGGACGUCUCCUUGAUGCGGUGCAAGGCGUGAGGCCGGUGAUAAUUCUUGCGGAGAAGCCAUCUCGGCAUCUCCUUGAACGAAAGAUGACGCGGCACCCGGACGUCCAACCAUGGAGCAGCAGCAAAUAUUUUUAGGAUCGCAUGGGACCGGCCUAUGAAUUUCCAGUGAGUCGACGCUAUCACCCCUGCAGUUGAAGCACGCCCAAUGCCGCAACCAACGCCAACAUUUCUCCCGAGUUGUCAUCGUAUUUUGCCUUGUCAUAUGGGCACCAAACAAAAUGUCAUAUGGGCACCAAACAAAGCUGGGUUGGAGUCCUAAACAUAUUGAAAUACCAGCAGCACAGCUUUUAAAAAGUUAUGGAAAAACUGGGUAAAUUAUGGACAUCGCGUCGAAAGGCAGGAGGUUGACAUUAUACGUGGUUUCCGGAUGCCGCACUCAGCUGCUAAGGUGCAGGAACCUGCCAUACAAUCAACUGGUCGGCUGUCAGUGGCGUUAGUCCGUUGUCUAUGCCACCGAUAGAUGAUGGCGGAGAGGAAAUAAAUCUGUGCAUGAAACUAUCCUGAGGGAACGGCUCAGGUAUUGCACGCUUGGAGAGUCUGCUAAGAGUACUGCGCCCUAAUGAACUCCCCCAUCAGGAUUUAGGGCAGGAAUUGCCUGGAACUGCAUUCU
This 822-nucleotide long non-coding RNA is filed under the name Volvox carteri. RNAcentral's name for it is "long non-coding RNA (VCAR_LNC000225)". Lineage: Eukaryota; Viridiplantae; Chlorophyta; Chlorophyceae; Chlamydomonadales; Volvocaceae. The record is from RNAcentral.